Molecule: ribosomal RNA, 221 nt
Filed under: Thalassionema frauenfeldii
Lineage: Eukaryota; Bacillariophyta; Fragilariophyceae; Thalassionematales; Thalassionemataceae
Description: partial Bacterial small subunit ribosomal RNA
Rfam family: Bacterial small subunit ribosomal RNA
Source: RNAcentral
GAGGAAGGUGGGGAUGACGUCAAAUCAUCACGGCCCUUACGUCCUGGGCCACACACGUGCUACAAUGGCAGGUACAGAGAGCAGCCACGUCGCAAGGCGGAGCGAAUCUAUAAAACCUGUCACAGUUCGGAUCGGGGUCUGCAACUCGACCCCGUGAAGCUGGAAUCGCUAGUAAUCGGAUAUCAGCCAUGAUCCGGUGAAUACGUUCCCGGGCCUUGUAC